GACAGAGGGUGCAAACGUUGCUCGGAAUUACUGGGCGUAAAGCGCGUGUAGGUGGAUUGGUGUGUCAGAUGUGAAAUCCCUGGGCUCAACCCAGGAACUGCACCUGAAACUACCAGUCUUGAGUGGUGGAGAGGGAAGUGGAAUUCCUGGUGUAGAGGUGAAAUUCGUAGAUAUCAGGAGGAACACCAGUGGCGAAGGCGGCUUCCUGGACACCAACUGACGCUGAGGAGCGAAAGUGCGGGGAGCGAACAGG
RNAcentral lists this ribosomal RNA (253 nucleotides) under uncultured bacterium. RNAcentral's name for it is "partial 16S ribosomal RNA". It matches the Rfam family "Bacterial small subunit ribosomal RNA", at positions 524 to 776 of the family's 1533-position model. The record is from RNAcentral.